This 447-nucleotide ribosomal RNA is filed under the name uncultured bacterium. RNAcentral describes it as "bacterial SSU rRNA". It matches the Rfam family "Bacterial small subunit ribosomal RNA", at positions 355 to 825 of the family's 1533-position model. The record is from RNAcentral.
UGGGGAAUUUUGGACAAUGGGCGCAAGCCUGAUCCAGCCAUGCCGCGUGAAGGAUGAAGUAUUUCGGUAUGUAAACUUCGAAAGAAUAGGAAGAAUAAAUGACGGUACUAUUUGUAAGGUCCGGCUAACUACGUGCCAGCAGCCGCGGUAAUACGUAGGGACCAAGCGUUGUUCGGAUUUACUGGGCGUAAAGGGCGCGUAGGCGGCAUGACAAGUCACUUGUGAAAUCUCUGGGCUUAACCCAGAACGGCCAAGUGAUACUGUCGCGCUAGAGUGCAGAAGGGGCAAUCGGAAUUCUUGGUGUAGCGGUGAAAUGCGUAGAUAUCAAGAGGAACACCUGAGGUGAAGACGGGUUGCUGGGCUGACACUGACGCUGAGGCGCGAAAGCCAGGGGAGCAAACGGGAUUAGAUACCCUCGUAGUCCCUGAGCGGGCUGGCAAGGCGCAU